Myodes glareolus (Bank vole) is the source of this 107-nucleotide small nuclear RNA. NCBI's taxonomy places the organism in Eukaryota, Metazoa, Chordata, Mammalia, Rodentia, Cricetidae. The record is from RefSeq and is a predicted model, not a curated record.
GUGCUCACUUUGGCAGCACGCAUACUAAAACUGGAACGAUACAGAGAAGAUUAGCAUGGCCUCGGCACAAAGGUGACAUAUAAAUUCUCGAAGCAUUCCAUUUUUAA